RNAcentral lists this ribosomal RNA (468 nucleotides) under uncultured bacterium. Its description in RNAcentral is "partial 16S ribosomal RNA". It matches the Rfam family "Bacterial small subunit ribosomal RNA", at positions 28 to 507 of the family's 1533-position model. The record is from RNAcentral.
GACGAACGCUGGCGGCGUGCUUAACACAUGCAAGUCGAACGGAAAGGCCCUGCUUUUGUGGGGUGCUCGAGUGGCGAACGGGUGAGUAACACGUGAGUAACCUGCCCUUGACUUUGGGAUAACUUCAGGAAACUGGGGCUAAUACCGGAUAGGAGCUCCUGCUGCAUGGUGGGGGGUGGAAAGUUUCGGCGGUUGGGGAUGGACUCGCGGCUUAUCAGCUUGUUGGUGGGGUAGUGGCUUACCAAGGCUUUGACGGGUAGCCGGCCUGAGAGGGUGACCGGCCACAUUGGGACUGAGAUACAGCCCAGACUCCUACGGGAGGCAGAAGUGGGGAAUAUUGCACAAUGGGCGGAAGCCUGAUGCAGCAACGCCGCGUGCGGGAUGACGGCCUUCGGGUUGUAAACCGCUUUCGCCUGUGACGAAGCGUGAGUGACGGUAAUGGGUAAAGAAGCACCGGCUAACUACGUG